Molecule: non-coding RNA, 408 nt
Filed under: unclassified sequences
Description: Giant, ornate, lake- and Lactobacillales-derived (GOLLD) RNA
Rfam family: Giant, ornate, lake- and Lactobacillales-derived (GOLLD) RNA
Source: Rfam by way of RNAcentral
UCGGGGCGUUCUAUCUAAACUUCUCAAAAGGAAGCAAGGUAGAUGCGUGGUUGCGCGUCCUGAAUUAUGGCAUUGUUUUCGGGUUAAAUCCCACUUAACAAUUAAAAAAUUAAGCAAAAGACAACCACCUUUCCCGCUGACAAUAGCGUUAUCCCUCUGCACUUCGGUAAUAUGAGGGCACAGUAAAUCCCGCAAGGAUGAGAAUGUGAUGUGGAAUGAGUAAAUCUAAGGUGAGGAGGCAUCCUCUUUAGUCCGCAAGACACUUGGUUGAAAAGAAAGCAUAUAUAAGCUGGAAAGUACAUGGUAGUUAGUCUACUCGCUAUCCUAGUUACUUUGGAGUAAUCUAAAGUGUGUGUAAACGGGCGAAAGUCUGUAAAAUACUGGGGACAUAGGGUCAACACUCAGCCU